UGGGUUGUGGCUCAGUGGUACAGCACUUGCCUAGCAUGCAUGAGGCACUGGGUUUGAUCCUCAGCACUAA
RNAcentral lists this transfer RNA (70 nucleotides) under Marmota monax (woodchuck). RNAcentral describes it as "tRNA.Ala". The stretch from base 6 to 66 matches the Rfam family "tRNA", at positions 6 to 65 of the family's 71-position model. From Rfam's summary of the family: Transfer RNA (tRNA) molecules are approximately 80 nucleotides in length. Their secondary structure includes four short double-helical elements and three loops (D, anti-codon, and T loops). The record is from RNAcentral. Lineage: Eukaryota; Metazoa; Chordata; Mammalia; Rodentia; Sciuridae.